This 12481-nucleotide long non-coding RNA is filed under the name Malus domestica (apple). RNAcentral's name for it is "long non-coding RNA (MDOM_LNC001877)". The record is from RNAcentral. Lineage: Eukaryota; Viridiplantae; Streptophyta; Magnoliopsida; Rosales; Rosaceae.
GUGAUUAGCCUUUGCUUAUGCAAAGAGGAAUCUACAAAGGUAUAAAUUUUCAACUCACUUUGUUUUGAGUUGAGUUCUUGGUUCACCAAUCUACUAGGCUUUGAAUUUCAUGGGUAAUGUUUUGUUUUUAAGUGCAUGCAAGCAUGAUUCCGCCUUUAAUUGUUAAUUGCAUGCUUAUAGAUGUUAUUCAAAUGAACAUGUUUUCACAAAAUCAUCCUUCAAGUGGUAUCAGAGCCUAGGUCUAGUAGUUGGUGAAUCCUUUUGGGUUUUGUAGUUCAUAGUUUUUGAUUUAAAAGUUGUAAUAUGUUACAAGCUUUAUUCUUGUUUCUUUGAAUGUAAAUUUUGUUAGAAAAUUUGCCAUCUCAAAUGUUGUAGAUGUAGUUCAUAUGAGCAUGAAUAUUGGAGCUAAAAUUUGGUGCCAUGCUUUUUGGGAAAUUUUCGGCCAAAAUCCAAAGGGUGGAUUUUUGGGUUCUUGUUUGACUUGUUAAAAGUGUUUUCAAGUGACUUUUGGAACCCCUAUGUACCCUAGUUUGGUUAUAUGUUAUUUCCCUAAAGUUUGAAUGGUUUUGGAAUGUUUUUGGGUGAAAAAUGUUCAUGGAAAUUUUUUGAGUUUUUCAUGAAUGUUCUUCAUUGUUCUUGACAUUUUUGCCAAGAACAAAAAAGUUUUGUGUUUUGAUUCAAAGUUUUGAUUUAUUUCAUAAAGUUUAUGUUUUAUGUUUUUUCAAAUGUUUAAUUGCAUUAGAUAUUUGUUUAAAUGGUGUAAGAGAUAUUGGUGGGUAUGUAAGGAUUAAUUUCCUUUCACACACACCACUUGCAUCACUUGCAUGCUUUAUGUCAAAACUCACAAAUCAACACACACAUCACUCUAAUCCUUCUCCAAAACCGGCCACUGUACAUGUAGGGUACUUUUGGGGCUUUUAUGCAAUUACAUAAAGUUUUUGAUACUUUUUGUGUAUUUGCACUUUGACCCAAAAGUUUACGUUUUUACGUUUAGGUCCAAAAACGCUAAAGGACAAAUUGUUUUGCUCCUUUAAUGAAGUUUUUGCAUUAUUAAAAUUUUGGGUUCUAGUUGUAAUUACAUGAAGUAGUGGACUUUUUGUGUUUUACAAAGUGACCCCAAAAGUUUUUGUUUUUGCAAUAUAGCCCAAAAGUUGAGGUUAAUUGCAAGAUAGCCCAAAUGUUGAGGUUAAUUGCUUUAUGGCCCAAAUAAUUUGUGGUUAUUGCAUAUUGGCCCAAAUUAAAUAGAGAACAAAAUUGUUUUGUCUCUUUAAAUGAGAAUUGGAUUUUCAUUUUGUUUAGCUCCAUUUAAAUCAAUUUUAUGGAUACAAAAACCAAAUGAAAAUGUUGCAUUCUAUUUAAUUAGUUAAAGUGUUAAUUAAUUAAAGGGUGAUUAUGAACCUAAGCCUAAUAUAAUUGAGCUAUGUGAAAGGCCGUUUCAAAUUUGUUUGAACCAUGGGAAUGUGUAGAUUAGAUUUUGGUUGUAAUUUGAUUUGAUCAAAUGUUGUAAAAGGGCAUAAGCUCUUCUUUACUUUAAAGUAAUUUGUUUUAUGCAAAUGUUGUAAUGAGCAUAAGCUUUACUUUGAAGUACUUCUUUCUUGCUUUAUUUGAUAUGCAUGAAAAUGAAGUAGUUGGGUCCAACGCCCCUAAGACAACACGCCUUAAUGUGAUUAAACGCGUAACUAAAAUCAAUCACCAUCCCUAGACCGAGAUUCAACACAAGGCUCGUGUUGAAUCUAAACAAAGGUUCAUAGUCAUCCUAAGGCCCUAAGGCAACUAUAUAGUCCAUCAAAUGAAUGCAAAGGUUAUGUUAGUAGUAUCAUAUACUCUUGCUUUAAAAACCGUUUUAUAAGCAUAGUGGGAGUAUUAUAUACAACUAAAAACAAUCAAAUGGACCAAUAGUUGUAAUAGGACCAAAAUUGUUUUAAUAGAGAUUAAAAUGUAUGUUUAUAUGUGAUGAGACCUAAAACCCUCAACCAAACCAUUAUUAAGUUGAUAAGCGUGAGAGUGCUUUGAACACUCUUUCGUGGCCUUCCACCGUGGUAGGCUCCAAUCGUUUAUGACUUGUACACCGGCCUUCACCCUAUCAUGGGGGAGUACAAAGUGCAUGCUUAUACUCAGGAGGAGUCCUAUAUACAUACUUGAUGAGGUGAGUGUAGGCAACGAGGAUGGCCAACAUCGUAUCAUUCGUGAGGCUAUUCUUGAACCCCUUCACGAACUAAGCAUGGUGGGAAUGACUUAACUAAGUGCAAUGGAGCCAACAUCAUAUCAUUGUGAGGUGACAUUCUCUAGAGGCCAAAUAAGAUGGGUACUUGCAUUAGUUGCAAAUGAGUAAGCGUACUCUCUCAUUAUUAUUAAUGCUAGCCAACAUCAUAUCAUUGUGAGGUGGGCUUGGUAAUAGUGAGCCUCCCAUACCCUACUAAGAGUUUCAUCCAAAACUCUCGAAUUCCAAUGAGGGAUAUGGAAUUUGCCAAAAAUAGUGGGUGGUGCUAUUUUGAUUUAAAGACCCGAAUCAAAUGGCUUAAAAUCAAUCAAUUUAUAUUCGUUAUGUAUUUGUUUACCAAUAUAUUUGCAAACGCUAUCCAAACACUUGACAAAUAAAAGCCGAAUGCUUUAGUUUCCGGACUUGGUACUACAACAAUCCCAAAGAUUGUCUUAAAUGGAUUGUAAUAUGUACCUAAGUAGUCUCAUCCUCACAAUCUUCCUAUUGAUAAUGUAUCAUUAGAAGAAUAUGUUAGAAUAGGUCUAUCAUAAAGAGGACAACACUUUUAAUGUCAUAAUUCUUCAAUUACAAAUUGUUGUAUGAAGAAAUAAGAGUUGCUUUGAACAACCCUUAAGUCAAUGCAAAACAUUAGUGCUUGUUUCUUUGUUAACAUGAACAAGGAACUUGAGAAGAAAGCACAAAGGCAUGGACACUUUAUGUGCCAUGAUUCUUCACUUACAAAUUGUUGUAUGAAGAAAUGAGAGUUGCCUUGUACAACUCUUGAAAGUUUGUAAUUAUGUUUAGAACAUAAUGGUUGGUUGACAAAAAUAGUCCAUUCAACAUGGACUUAUGAUGAUUUUGAAUCAUUGAGUGUUGAAGUGAUAAACCACUUAACGAGACGGAAACUAGGCAAGGACUUCACCUUUGUGUCCCUAUCCUAAUGGUUCACUAAGUUUAUUGUAAACUAUAUAGUGAACAAUAACCACAUGCUCUCCAAAAUGUUUGAUGUGUAUAACACAAUUGAAAUAAGUUUCAAAGAGAGAUAGUGGGAGUUUAGGGACCAUGACUAUUGUAGUCAAAGGAGAAGUCAAAUGAAGAAGAUAAAAUUAACUCCAAGGGAACAAACUUUCUUUAUGAAAGGAUGGACAUUGGAAGGGGUAUUUGCAAGAAAUGUCUUGCAAGUGUCAAGAACACACCUUUCGAAGGUGUUGUAAAUUGUUCUUGAAUAGUUCAAAACAGUUGGUUCUUCUACUUGAAUGCUUGAUUCCGUAUUAGUAACAAUGUUUUACAAUCGUUGUAAAAGUGUGACUAAUAAGAAGUAGAAGAUAUAUGAGAGAAGAAAAGGUACUUCACAUUCGGAACGUGAAUAAAAUGUAAAGAUCUCUGCGAAAGCAGAUAGUACUUACUUCCUCAUAUGAACUACCAAAGAAAUUGGAAAAACCAAAGAUUGUCUUUACAUUCCAAUUUUAAGGAACUUAAUUCCGUCACUAUAGUAGAAAUGGAUGAAUGUUUUGUUUGACAAAACAUUAUUCUUUAUUAAUCAAUGAUUGGAUUAUAGUAAUCUAAUCGAUUGUCUCUAUAGUAGAGAUGAUAUGGUAGUGUUAACUGUUUAGAAUAAUAAUGAUGCUUAAAACCCAAAAGGUUGCAAGGUAGUGACUAAUCCCAACUAAGUUGUGAUUCCCCUAAAAACAUAAGUUAUGAGUUGGUCAUAGAUGGAUGCUAUGGAUCGUUAGAUCCGGAUCCAAUACCUUCUUGUUAAAAUUGUAUAGAGGCGAAAUGUUCGAAUCUUUAUUCUUUUGGAAAGAAGAAAGAAUCACAAAGUUGUUGAGGUUAAUUCACUUAGAUGUUAGUGGCACUUGUCCACAAACAUAAUACUACUCAUGUUAUAUGACAUUCACCGAAGAUCACUCUCGGUUGGACUAUAGUUUAUUUUGAAUAAACACAAGUCCGAAUACUUUGCAAAAGGUUUCAAAGAAUUCAAGAAAUGUAAGUUGAUGAGUAAGACGUCUAAAGUAUUUACCUCCUUAGAUUUGAUCCAAGGAAAGGUAACACUUUAGAUGAGUUUCCUUGAAAGAUAUCAAGGAAAGAAGCAUCAUAAGAUAAUAAAUUUCUCCAUUAAGGAGAAGAACGAACUCGAAUAAGAUUUAGUUCGUUAGAUGUUAUCUAUUACCCAUAUAUAGGAUAUAUACUUCUAAAAACAAUAUGAUUGUCAAUUAGAAGAUCUUCCAAAAUUUUUCAUGACUCCAUAAGAUGUAGUUGGAAAGAAAGACAAAUCUUAAGCAUGUUAAGAUUUGGGGUUGUGUGCUAAUAAGCAAUAUUUGUUUGAUAACAAUCUUGUGGGAUAUCCUUAAAUUAACUUUUGGAUAUCGCUUCUAUAAACCAACUAACAAAUGUUGUUUUGUUGGGUAGUUCAUUGUAAUCCUACAAUGUGAUUUGCCUAAAAGCAAAUGAACGAGAGAUAGAACUCAAAGAAUGGGUUCUUUGAGAGACAAGAAAGUAAUCAACAAAUAUAAACAACCUAGUUCCUAUACCAAAAGCUCCAAGGUAGUCGAGAAGGAUUUAUAAACCGUCUCAGUUGAAUGGUUUGAACUUUAUGACUAUGUCAUAGAGUUGCACCUCUUAAUUCGAAAGAAAUAAGAAUGAAAAUCCUUAUGACUACAUUGAGUGUAUAUAUAUGAUAUAUACUCAAGGAAAUGGUAAAGUACCAUUUGACCCGAAAUAAUGAAACCUUCAUAAGCUAAUUGGUAGCUUAAGGUGACUACAAUCAAAGAGAAUGGUUGACUUUGAAGAAACCAUUUUGACGUAGUCUUGGUUUCAAUUAAUUCGAAGAUUGCUAGCUACAACUAAAUGGUGAUUCAAUGUUUGGACAUAAUAUGGGUUUCCGAAACCAUUAUUAAGAUAGUCUUGAUAAUAUAUGUCUAAAACUAUGAAUCACAAGACAUGUAAGUUGUAGAGAUCCAUCCAUCAUGGAAUCUUAGCAAGCUAGUGGGAGCUAUAAGCAUCUUAUGAGAAAAAGGAUCAAAUCGUUUGAUUUCUCAUAAAGAUGUAAAUGAAUCUUUUGUUUACUAGGUUUACAAAAGAUUAGUGGGAGUUAAUCAUGUUCCUAAAAAUUUAAAUAUAUAUGAUAUAUUAAUUUUGGAAAUGAAAAGAAUACUUCUUCGUUAAAGUUAUGACUUUAAACAUUAUAUGAAGAUAGAAUGUAUAUGGGAGAUAUAGUCUAUAUACAUGGGAUGGAAAUCUAUAAUGAUAUAUUUCAUGAUAUAAUUGGAUUAUAUCAAUCCCUAAUAAUAGACAAUGGAUGCUAGGAAGUUUCUCAUAUGAUGAUAAACUUCAAUUAGAAGGACAACUCUAGUGAGACUAAGAAGUUGCUCUUCUCAAAGAGAACGUACUCUUUGACUCCCAAAGAAAUAAUGCGUAAAUAGAAUCCUUUAUGCAUACGCAUAAAGGUGAUUUAUGUAUUUCAUAUUGUAUGAAAAACAUUGAUAUGAGUUGUACCUAGAAACGGUACAAGACGAUAUCAGUGCAAGCCCAGGAUCAGAACCAUGGCAACUGUCAAGUGAGUCCUUAAGUAUUUAAGAAAUACUAAAGGAUAGAUUCCUCAAAGAAUGAGGAAGAAUUAGAGUAACGUAAUGGAAGCGUAAAUGUAUUAGAUUAUGAAUCUAAUCCAUCAUUGGAUGUUUCUUCAUUAUGAAUGAAAGAGAUAAACAGAUAUCUCUUUAUUAUGACUAAAGAGAUAUUUGGAUGGAAACAUUAAAAGUAAUGACUUUAGUGUGUUCCAUUAUGAAUGCAAAAUAUAUUGCCAUAUAGAAGCUUACAACAAUGUUGUUUGGAUGGGAAAGUUCAUUUAUGAACUCUCUAUUCGGUUCCAACCAGAAAGUGUAUCUAGUGUACUGACACUAUGACACUAAUGGGGCGAUAGCUCAAGCCAGGGAAUCAAGGUCUCAUCAAGAUCCGAACUCAAAUGAGAGACUGAACCACAUGAUUGAGAAUCAUGUAUAAUGGUGACGUCGUUAUUCUCAAGGUUGCUUCUAUGGAUAACAUAUAGAUAUCCAUUGUCUAGGCCUACUAUUCAGCCAUUUAUGAAAUGACUACAGAAGAGGUAUCAUCACUGAUGAACAAGCUGAUUGGCUCUAGUGCAAGUGGGAGAUUGUUGGAAAUGUGCCCUAAAACCAAUCGAUGAUACUUUACGGACAUUUCACAUGUUAAACUAAUCUUUAAAGGGCAAAGAUUAUUGUUUGAGCCGUCUCAUAUAAAUGUUAUAUGCUUAAACGAUAAAGUCCAAGGAAUAUGUGAUUGGGAGAAUGCGAUCUAAAGAAGUUAGAUUCAUGAGACCAUUCUUUCGUAGACACAUCCUAAAUGUUCCUGAUCAUAGGAUUGCCAAUUGGGCAUUGACAGUCCGUUAAGAUCAGUACGUGCUGUGUCUUCUCUCAGGGAGAGUGACUAGUCUCGAGUCAUUGGUGUGUGUGACAGUCUCAAGACAAGUUGUAGGUGCUCAAUAGAGAAUGAGUUCACUGAACACGAUCAACGAAGAGUUCUCAUAUUCAUGUCACAUGAGAACUCAUGGUUGGGAUAAUGCAAAGUAGUCCUUUGACCUGAGGCAUCAUAGUUGUCUUGUGGUUAAGUCCUUGAUCUUUGAUUAUGUCAAAGUCACUCCAAAAUGAGGGUGUCCACGGCAUCGUUGGGGUUAAGCCACUUAGCCAUGGAGGCAAGUGAAUGCGCAACAAGGGAUCUCUAACCUUCAAACCUGUUUGAGGGAGAAUACUCUAUGAUAUGAUUAAGAAUCUCUGGCCAGAGUAUGAAUGAGAUUUAGGAAGUUCGUUCCAAAUCACAUUCAAGGUAAUCAUAUAAGCACACGAAUCACAUUGGAUAGUAGACAUGAAUAAACUAUCAAACCAAACAAUGUGGUCAAGAGUAUUGUAUUAGAGAAAGACCGUAUUGCAUUUGUAAUCCUAAACUGAAUAGGUUCUCUACCUCUUCUGAUUAGCUUGGGUAACCAUGAUAUGCUGCUAGGUGUCACUCAUGGUUUGUGGAAGCCCUAAACGUGUAUAAUCACUAAAGGGAGAAUUGAAAGUAAGUUUCAAUUCACAAUCGAUUUGAAAGAGUUUUAAUCGCCCACUGCCUCGCUAAAAGGAACCUAAUGGAUCGUACACCGUGUAAGGUGGAGAUUGAAGAAACAUCGGAAAUGAGUAAGAAUAAUUAAAUGGUUUAAUUAUUGAUGGCAAGGAUUUAUUAAUAUGUUAAUUAAUCAAACGAAUAAGUUCGUUAAAGACCUCGGGAUAGUUUUGGACCUUAAGGCCCAAUGGGCUUCGAACGUCAAAGCCCAUGGACUUAAGUUGUAUGACAACUUAAUGAAUAAAGAUUCACAAGGGCCCAAAAGCCCAAAUCCCUCAAAUGGCCGGCCAUGUAAGAAGAAUGGCCUUUUGGUUCUUUAGGUCACUUAUUUGAAGGGACUAUAUAAAGAACUUUAUAGCCUAAAUUCAUUAAGGGUUUCUUUUAGGAAAUUGGAGAGAACACAAAGCUCUCUUUUCUCUCUAAAGAGGCCGGCCCCCUUGGAGGGAUUAGCUAGCAAUCCCACUCUUCCAAGGUCACUCAUUUCUUCUCCAAUCUAACCUUGGUGUAGACACUUAGAGGUUCUCAAUUUUGGGAACUUGGAGAACCAUAUUCUUCCAUCCAAAUCCAUGGAUCUAAGAAGCAAGGAAUGAAGGCCCUCUCUUUGGGUGAUUAGCCUUUGCUUAUGCAAAGAGGAAUCUACAAAGGUAUAAAUUUCUCAACUCACUUUGAUUCGAGUUGAGUCUUGGUUCACCAAUCUACUAGGCUUUGAAUUUCAUGGGUAAUGUUUUGUUUUUAAGUGCAUGCAAGCAUGAUUCCGCCUUUAAUUGUUAAUUGCAUGCUUACAGAUGUUAUUCAAAUGAACAUGUUUUCACAAAAUCAUCCUUCAGUAGCAAGGACUACAGGUGAGUGGAUCUUUCUCUUUCUAUCAUAUAUAUAUAUAUAUAUAUACAUAUGAUUGAUAAUUUCAUAAACUUUAUUAAGUUGAUUUAUGCAUAUUACCCACUUGUAAUUAUUAUGAAUACCUUGAAGCACUGUGUGAACUACGAAUGGCUUAAUCCCUAUUUAGGGUAUGUAGGCAGUAACAAGACAUUAGAUGUAGCCAUAUAAGAAAUGAGAUUAAAUAAUCAAGACAUUAGCCUUGUUUAAGGAAUUGAGCAAUAUGAGGGAUAUUGGUGAAAAAAAAUGUGCGUUUAACUUCAUAUUUUGGUGAUUAAUAGUUAGUACACUGUAUUAUAUAAUUGGAAAUAUUAUGAAAUGUUUUAAUUUUAGAUUUCAUCAUGGCAUAUCCAUACGUAUAUUCUUUGCACAUAAUUAUUGUGAACACUCUAAAGUGAAAAGUUGAGCGCAGGACACACAAGUAAGUUCAUGUAAGUUCAUGUAAGUUUAGGUAAGUUCAAGUAAACAUACAGUAUUAGUUGAAUUGAUAGGGUUAUGAUAUGAUUACAUUUAUGUUUAAGCAACUCUGACAGUGUCGUACAGGUUGCAAUAGUAGGCAACUUUGGCAUUUUCGUACAAGUUGCUUAUGAGUCAUACAUGUUGUAUUAGAUGCAUUUAAAGCUCAUAAACCUGCACCCCGGUGUUAGUGCUCCCAUCCGUGGCCAGGGCACAGUCCUUCACGUAAUGUUCACCUCCCGCACCAUACGUUCACCUUGAAUUCAAGAUAGGUGCACAGGUUUGUCGUAUAGACCACUAUAGGUGGUUCCGACUCGUAGGUGACUCUUCACGUGAUCGUAGCACUUGAGCUUAUUCAUUUACACCCAGUCCUGUCAUAUAGACCACUACUAUGGUUCUGACUCGUGUGCAAGCGUAGUGUUGUAUAGGUCACUAGAGGUGACUCCGGCUUAUGUACUAGCAAUGAUUAUUGAGAUAUGAGUACAGUCGUAUAGGUCACUAGAGGUGACUCCAAAUUAUAUGCUAGCCAUGAUUGAUGAGAUAUGUGAUGAAAUAUGGAUAAGUUGUACAGGUCACUAUAGGUGACUUCGACUUACGAGCUAGCAUAUGUGAUGAAUAUGUGACGAGCUAGCAUAUGUGAUGAAUAUGUGACGAGCUAGCAUACGUGAUGUAUAUGUGACGAGCUAGCAUAUGUGAUGAAUAUGUGAUGAGCUAGCAUAUACGAUGAAUAUGUGAUGAGCUAACUUAUGUGAGGAAAUAUAUGAUGAACUAGUACAUGUGAUGAGAUAUGGGUAAGUCGUACAGGUCACCUUAGGUGACUCCGACUUAUGUACUAGCAUGAUUUAUUAAUCGCAUGACUAUUUAAUAUUGUUGAUGAGAUGCUGUGUUGUGGUAUAUUAUGAUUUUUCUGGAAAUUAUACAGGUGUUGUAGAGAAGGAUUAUAAUGUUUUAUAUGCUUUCUAUUAAUAUUUUACCUUCAGGGCCACUCACCCUUGUCUUGUCUUCACCUCCAGGUUUUAUUAGCUGAGUUUUCUUAUCGUCUAAGAUUCGUGGCAAUUCUUAGUAAUGGAGAUUAUUUCGAGGGUACGAUUCUUAAUUCACUCUUCUGUACUUGCUUAUGCUCUAACGUCACGUGUGAAGUGGGUUUAUUCCCGCUCACCAGUGCACUCUAGUAUUUAGGCAUUCUUAGGUUUAAAUUUAUUCACAAUUUUCCACAUCAUCACCCCCCUUUAUGGCUUCAUCACCUUCCAAGUGUCGGCCAGCACAGCUCGAAUCGGAGUCCUAGUGGACAUUCCGGGUCAAGGUGUGUCCCCUUUGGUAGUUUUUUUUUUUUUAAUUUUUAUCAAAAGGAAAUUUGUGAUAUAGAGAUUACAAGGACUUUCAUAAUAUUCUUCUCCCCACUGUAUUUCAUAUAAGAGGUAAUUACAAGGCACAGAUAAUAAUAUAAUUAGAUCUUAGUCUCCUAGAAUCAAAACAUACAAAAUAGAUAUGCAAAAUGACCCCUUGCUACUUCGUACUACGAUCUAGUGAUAUUUUUUUUUACUUCUAAGUGAGAGGUCUUAUGUUUGAUUCUCUCCAAAAGCGAAUUAUGAGGCUAAGCCCACCCCGUCUUCUUUAGUGUAGAUAAUAUCAUUUGUUCAGAAGAAAAAAAUGACCCCUUAAACAAGUUAAUCAUUCAUCGAGGGUUAUCCAAUUAUUGUUGUAUAUUAUUUGAUUAUUCAUCAAAUGGUCCAUCUCUAUAUUAUGAAAUCGUAAAGAGCACAACAUAUAUCCUCGGUUGAAAUGUAUUUUACUGUAUACAAGUGACUGAUGGCUCUAAUGAUAAAUAUGUACCAAGUUAAGGUGUUUAGAGCAUUUUUAAUCAUACACUCACAUUUAGCUAAAAUCUUUUACUCUGACCAUGCUUUUUAGUUCAAUGUUUAUACUUUUGAGGAACCAGGAUCCUCUCCUGAGCAGUCCUCUUGUCCGUUCAUUUUAUAUCGUGGGGUCAGUUUUCGUUAGAUACUAUUCAUAUUUGAAUUUUAAAAUUUAAAUUUUAAAUUAUUUCUGACCGCACGAUAUACGAUGAACGGACAUGAUUGCAGGAUCCCUAGGAUCCCUAGGGAACUGCUCAGGAAAGGAUCCUGGUUCACUUUCGAGAUAAAUGUAAAAUCCUCAAAACAUAAACUAAAGACUAAAAAAUUAAUAAAAGCAAAAACGUAAAUGUUUAAAAUUAUUAAUAUAUUAUUGAACUGUAAAUGAGAAGUUUUGACUUUAAUUCCCGUUGAUUGUGAAUAUGAACUAAAGUAUUGUGCCUGGUCAUUAUGAGAGAGAUCCUUGAGGUUUUCUAUUUUAGCACAUGGGGUAUCGUUUGGUAUGCAGACGGGAUGAGAUGGGACAGGACGGGACGGAAUGGAGAGAGAGUAAAGAUGCCCUUAUAUGGAAAUAAGGAGGACGAAGAAGGAGACGAAGAGGUUAUAAUUUUGUGUUCCGCGGAUGUGGAACGAGUUGUUUCAGGGGAUGAGGUGGAACAAAAAUUCACCCAAAAUUCGUCUCGUGGAACAUCGUGUUCCACCCGUUUUAGGUGCACCAAACCUGGGACGAAACGCCUCGUCUCACUCCGUUCCGUCCCGUCCCACGUACCAAACGGUACCUGAGGUAACAUGAGUGGUUAGAGGUGAUUUACCUGACUCAUUCCUAGUUAUGUAUUUUAUCCAAUAAAAUUUGAAAUCACCAUUUUCCCGCCUAAUAAUAAAAAGUAAAGCUCUUUGUAACCAGAUGUACCCAAUGGUUGGGAUUUUAGUUUUCACCUUUUAUUUUUUUCUGUUUUUAAUUUAUUUUUUGAAAGACGAAAUGUCACAUCCCGGCCCGGGCCCCCACCACAUCCGAGCUCGACUCCACCGUAUCACGAUAUUGUCCGCUUUGGGCCCCGACCACGCCCUCACGGUUUUGUUUUUGGGAACUCACACAAGACUUCCCAGUGGGUCCUCCAUCCAACUCGCUUAACUUCGGAGUUCCAAUGGAACCUGAAGCUAGUGAGCUCCCCAAAGACCUCGUGCUAGGUAGAGAUGGGAAUAUACAUAUAAGGCUUACAGGAUCCUCAUCCCUGGGUGAUGUGGGAUCUUACACGAAAACUAAAACUAGUUACUAGAAAAAAUUUAGUUUCAAAAUAUGAAAACAAAUUUAGCAUAUCCUUUUUAUGUAUGAGUCCAACAAUACUCUCGAUAUAAGCAAUUCAUCAUUUCGUUAAUUAUUUUUAAGCUCUAAUUGUGGAUGCAAAUUUCCAUCUUCUUCUUCUCAGAUGAAAAUGUAUCUGCAAAAUAAUUAAUACCUUAGGUCAAGGUCAAGAGCCUCACGCACCCACGAUGAAUUGGGGGGGGGGGCGCUUUGGUCGAAGAACCUUUGAUGCCAAAGUUAGAAUUUUAGAGAAAAGUGUUUAGAGAAAUUUGGAGAAUUGUAGAAGAAAAUUGGACUUAGUUGUUUUGGAGAAAUGAAGGCUAUUUAUAAGGGUGUGGUCGGGGUUAUUUAGAGAAAUAGGGACCGGGCAUUUAUGGUGGUGAUUUGAGUGUAAUUGUAAUCAAUUAGGCAAUUAAUCAAUUAAUUAGCUAAUCAAUCCUAAUUUGAAAGGAUUACCUUGUGGGGAGGAUUUGAUGAGGAUUGAUGAAAUAUGUUUUUAAUAAAUACCAUUUUGAUCACCUUUGACCUCGAUUGAGCCGUUAUUGUCUGAUGCUCGCGUGUGGGAGUCCUGAUGUGCCUCGACGGUAAUUUUGUCAUUUUUACCCAAAAAUCCACAUGUUGCUUCCAUAUUUUUCUUGAUUAUUUUUGGCUCCACAAAUGCCCCCACACUUGUUGAGCUGC